This is a long non-coding RNA of Helianthus annuus (common sunflower), 1696 nucleotides long. RefSeq lists it as uncharacterized. NCBI's taxonomy places the organism in Eukaryota, Viridiplantae, Streptophyta, Magnoliopsida, Asterales, Asteraceae. The transcript is spliced from 4 exons. The record is from RefSeq and is a predicted model, not a curated record.
UGGUAUAUCCAAUAUGUCAUUUACAUCCACAAUAGUUUGCAAAGUAGUUGACCGUUCAGGUCAAACCAUAUUUAUUGAGCUUGAACUUAGCAUGAUCAAUCCAGAAUUAUUUUUUGCAUUUUUAUUUUAAGUUGGUUAGAGCUCUGAUCUUGAAUAUUCCCUGAGGUGGCCUUAAGGGUAGACGGUGUGGGCUUCGUCCCACCCCCGUCGUGGUCCGGCGCCGCUCCGCCACCCAUUUCUCCCCUCCCCGUCGUCGUCGAGAUCGUCGAGCCUAGGACGAUUGAGACGCUCCACAAAAGACAAAAACCGUUCGAAUCGUAUGAUUAUUCGUAAUUGAUCUUCGUUCCUUGUAACCUAGGGUUUGUAAUUUGUUGAUUUCAGAAAAUUAGGUUUAAUCUUCGUUUUUCGUCAGCGAAUUUGUAUUUUUAGAGGUUGAAAUCGAGGUAUAUACGAUUAAGCCUCUGUUUUGUUCGAUCGAUUGUGGCAGAAACAUUACUGGACGAAUUUCACACAGGUGAAGAGAUUUAGGCAGAAAAUGAACAAGAAUUGUUUAUCUAUCAAUGGGGGCUUUUAUUUCGCCUCAAUCGAUUGUGUGUUUGUAGGUAUGAAAUUGUGAAUGAUUUGGAUGUAACUCGUUGUCGAGAUAAUAUAUGAAACUUUGUGAUCCUGUUAGUUGAAUCUUAUAAAGUUAUAAUUAACAGUUGAAAAGUCACCUCUCUUUAUGUCACCAAUGUAAGUAUCAACAGAACAGUUCUCGGGAAUCCCAUAUGUUUACGCCCUCUUGAACUGCUUGAUCUGCGCAUGGUAUGACUGCCCGCUCAUAUCAUAUGAUAAUUUGUUGGUCACAACGGUCAACUCUGUUGGUGCGAUUUUCCAGUUAACAUACAUAGUUAUCUAUAUAACACAUGCUGACAAAAGCAAAAAGGUCAGAAUGCCCAUAAUUUGUUGAAAUUAUUUGCACUUUUAAUGGUUUUGUUUUGUUUUAUUUUGGUAAUUGAAUAUCAAAUGUUUUAAGUUGAUUGGGAAGGGCAAAAGAAUCAAAUAGAUGCUGGUUAGUAAGGGUCGUUUUUCCUUUAGCGUUUGGCGUUUGGCGUUUUACGCCUUAUGCAUGCCAACCGUUAUCUUGCCACUGAUUUCCUCAAAAACAAGCUCAAAUUCAGGGGGUUUGUUAUAUCAGACUAGCAAGGGAUUGACAGGAUCACUACUCCCGAACAUGCGAACUACACAUAUUCAAUCAUAGCCGGGAUGAAUACUAGCAUUGAUAUGGGGCUCAUGCUGAUAAUCUUGGUUACCAAUGUGGUGGAUGGACAAUUGAGUGGCAAGGACUUUCAGGAGAUAUUACUUCUGGCACCACAAUCUUAUCUGCUGUGAAAAGGCCGUUGACCCGAAAACUCAAGUGGUCUACAAUGAGAACCCCAGUGAGAAUUUUGUCAAGUCUGCCAAAUUCGACUAUGCGAUUGUCGUUGUGGGAGAGCACCCGUAUGCUGAGACAUUUGGAGACAGCCUGAAUCUAACAAUCCCAGAGCCUGGACCAAGCACCAUCAAGAAUGUUUGGUGGAGUACAUUUGGAACAACGCUCAAAACAAACCCGACGACGACAUGGAGGACGAAGACUAGUAGCUUAUUUUAAUAUAUUAGGAUUUUUUAAAGUUUAUGUAAUGUUUUUUAAUAUUAAUGAAAAUAUUUUGUUAGUUUA